GGGCCCAUAGCUCAAUGGCAGAGCACCCGGUUUGCAUCCGGGAUAUCGGGGUUCGAUUCCCCGUGGGUCCA
Molecule: transfer RNA, 71 nt
Filed under: Parcubacteria group bacterium
Lineage: Bacteria
Description: tRNA-Ala
Rfam family: tRNA
About the family: Transfer RNA (tRNA) molecules are approximately 80 nucleotides in length. Their secondary structure includes four short double-helical elements and three loops (D, anti-codon, and T loops). Further hydrogen bonds mediate the characteristic L-shaped molecular structure. tRNAs have two regions of fundamental functional importance: the anti-codon, which is responsible for specific mRNA codon recognition, and the 3' end, to which the tRNAs corresponding amino acid is attached (by aminoacyl-tRNA synthetases). tRNAs cope with the degeneracy of the genetic code in two manners: having more than one tRNA (with a specific anti-codon) for a particular amino acid; and 'wobble' base-pairing, i.e. permitting non-standard base-pairing at the 3rd anti-codon position.
Source: RNAcentral